RNAcentral lists this ribosomal RNA (600 nucleotides) under uncultured bacterium. RNAcentral's name for it is "bacterial SSU rRNA". It matches the Rfam family "Bacterial small subunit ribosomal RNA", at positions 84 to 686 of the family's 1533-position model. The record is from RNAcentral.
GGGCUGGAUCAGCGGCGGACGGGUGAGUAACGCGUGGAGACGUAUCCUGAAGAGGCGGAUAACCAGCCGAAAGGCUAGCUAAUACGCCAUAAGCCUGAGAGGGGAAAGGUGCAAAAGCAUCGCUUUAGGAGCGGUCCGCGUCCCAUCAGCUAGUUGGUGAGGUAAAGGCUCACCAAGGCGACGACGGGUAGCCGGCGUGAGAGCGUGGCCGGCCAUAAGGACACUGAGAUACGGGUCCUACUCCUACGGGAGGCAGCAGUGCGGAAUUUUGGUCAAUGGGCGAAAGCCUGAACCAGCGACGUCGCGUGCGGGACGAAGGUCUUCGGAUAGUAAACCGCUGUGGUAGAGGGAGAAUACCGGGCAGAGUGGAAAGCUGUUCGGGGGGACGGUACUCUACUAGGAAGCCCCGGCUAACUACGUGCCAGCAGCCGCGGUAACACGUAGGGGGCGAGCGUUGCCCGGAAUCACUGGGCGUAAAGGGAGCGUAGGCGGCCUGACAAGUCUACUGUGAAAAGCCAGAGCUCAACUCUGGUCUUGCGGUAGAAACUGGCAGGCUUGAGGCUGGUAGAGGAAGACGGAACAGCUAGUGUAGGGGUAAAA